Podarcis lilfordi (Lilford's wall lizard) is the source of this 72-nucleotide non-coding RNA. Lineage: Eukaryota; Metazoa; Chordata; Lepidosauria; Squamata; Lacertidae. The record is from the annotation of a GenBank genome assembly.
UAAUAGCUCAGUUGGUAGAGCCUGAGACUUUUAAUUUCAGGGUCGUGGGUUCAUGCCCCACACUGGGCAAAA